CGAGUGAACGCUGGCGGUAGGCCUAACACAUGCAAGUCGAACGGCAGCACGGCAGAGCUUGCUCUGUGGGUGGCGAGUGGCGGACGGGUGAGGAAUACAUGGGAAUCUGCCCAGUCGUGGGGGAUAACGUAGGGAAACUUACGCUAAUACCGCAUGCGCCCUUCGGGGGAAAGCCGGGGACCUUCGGGCCUGGCGCGAUUGGAUGAGCCCAUGUCGGAUUAGCUAGUUGGCGGGGUAAUGGCCCACCAAGGCGACGAUCCGUAGCUGGUCUGAGAGGAUGAUCAGCCACACUGGAACUGAGACACGGUCCAGACUCCUACGGGAGGCAGCAGUAGGGAAUAUUGGACAAUGGGCGCAAGCCUGAUCCAGCCAUGCCGCGUGAGUGAAGAAGGCCCUCGGGUUGUAAAGCUCUUUUGUCCGGAAAGAAAAGCGCCGGGUUAAUACCCUGGUGUCCUGACGGUACCGGAAGAAUAAGCACCGGCUAACUUCGUG
This 492-nucleotide ribosomal RNA is filed under the name uncultured bacterium. RNAcentral describes it as "bacterial SSU rRNA". It matches the Rfam family "Bacterial small subunit ribosomal RNA", at positions 27 to 507 of the family's 1533-position model. The record is from RNAcentral.